This 253-nucleotide ribosomal RNA is filed under the name uncultured bacterium. Its description in RNAcentral is "partial 16S ribosomal RNA". It matches the Rfam family "Bacterial small subunit ribosomal RNA", at positions 524 to 776 of the family's 1533-position model. The record is from RNAcentral.
UACGUAGGGUGCGAGCGUUAAUCGGAAUUACUGGGCGUAAAGCGUGCGCAGGCGGCUUUGCAAGACAGAUGUGAAAUCCCCGGGCUCAACCUGGGAACUGCAUUUGUGACUGCAAGGCUAGAGUACGGCAGAGGGGGAUGGAAUUCCGCGUGUAGCAGUGAAAUGCGUAGAUAUGCGGAGGGACACCAAUGGCGAAGGCAAUCCCCUGGGCCUGUACUGACGCUCAUGCACGAAAGCGUGGGGAGCAAACAGG